This 253-nucleotide ribosomal RNA is filed under the name uncultured bacterium. RNAcentral describes it as "partial 16S ribosomal RNA". It matches the Rfam family "Bacterial small subunit ribosomal RNA", at positions 524 to 776 of the family's 1533-position model. The record is from RNAcentral.
UACGGGGGGAGCAAGCGUUGUUCGGAUUCAUUGGGCGUAAAGGGUGUGUAGGUGGCGCGCUAAGUCGGGUGUGAAAUUUCGGAGCUUAACUCCGAAACUGCAUUCGAUACUGGCGUGCUUGAGGACUGGAGAGGAGACUGGAAUUUACGGUGUAGCAGUGAAAUGCGUAGAUAUCGUAAGGAAGACCAGUGGCGAAGGCGGGUCUCUGGACAGUUCCUGACACUGAGACACGAAGGCCAGGGGAGCAAACGGG